GCGAAAACUUUACAAUGCGAGCAAUCGUGAUAAGGGAACUCCGAGUGCCUGUAAAAUCAGGCUGUCCGCCAGUGUAAAUAACUGGUGAAGAAAGGGCCGGGCAAGACCGGUGCCAGCCGCCGCGGUAAUACCGGCGGCUCGAGUGGUGGCCACUAUUACUGGGCUUAAAGCGUCCGUAGCUGGUCUGUUAAGUCUCUGGGGAAAUCUUCCGGCUCAACCGGAAGGCGGCUCAGGGAUACUGGCAGACUAGGGACCGGGAGAGGUGAGAGGUACUCCAGGGGUAGGAGUGAAAUCCUGUAAUCCUUGGGGGACCACCUGUGGCGAAGGCGUCUCACCAGAACGGCUCCGACAGUGAGGGACGAAAGCUGGGGGAGCAAACG
This 380-nucleotide ribosomal RNA is filed under the name uncultured prokaryote. Its description in RNAcentral is "bacterial SSU rRNA". It matches the Rfam family "Archaeal small subunit ribosomal RNA", at positions 341 to 725 of the family's 1478-position model. The record is from RNAcentral.